Molecule: ribosomal RNA, 253 nt
Filed under: uncultured bacterium
Lineage: Bacteria
Description: partial 16S ribosomal RNA
Rfam family: Bacterial small subunit ribosomal RNA
Source: RNAcentral
UACGUAGGUGGCAAGCGUUGUCCGGAUUUACUGGGCGUAAAGCGUGCGCAGGCGGUUUUGUAAGUCAGAUGUGAAAUCCCCGGGCUUAACCUGGGAACUGCGUUUGAAACUACAAGGCUAGAGUGUAGCAGAGGGGGGUGGAAUUCCACGUGUAGCAGUGAAAUGCGUAGAGAUGUGGAGGAACACCGAUGGCGAAGGCAGCCCCCUGGGUUAACACUGACGCUCAGGCACGAAAGCGUGGGGAGCAAACAGG